RNAcentral lists this transfer RNA (72 nucleotides) under Pseudidiomarina mangrovi. It matches the Rfam family "tRNA". Rfam says of the family: Transfer RNA (tRNA) molecules are approximately 80 nucleotides in length. Their secondary structure includes four short double-helical elements and three loops (D, anti-codon, and T loops). The record is from RNAcentral. RNAcentral also lists the same sequence under 3 other names. Lineage: Bacteria; Pseudomonadati; Pseudomonadota; Gammaproteobacteria; Alteromonadales; Idiomarinaceae.
GAGCGGUAGUUCAGUUGGUUAGAAUACCGGCCUGUCACGCCGGGGGUCGCGGGUUCGAGUCCCGUCCGUUCC